GCGCUAUCAGAUGAGCCUAGGUCGGAUUAGCUAGUUGGUGAGGCAAUGGCUCACCAAGGCGACGAUCCGUAACUGGUCUGAGAGGAUGAUCAGUCACACUGGAACUGAGACACGGUCCAGACUCCUACGGGAGGCAGCAGUGGGGAAUAUUGGACAAUGGGCGAAAGCCUGAUCCAGACAGGCCGCGUGUGUGAAGAAGGUCUUCGGAUUGUAAAGCAAUUGAGUUGGGAGGAAGGGCAGUUACCUAAUACGUGA
This 255-nucleotide ribosomal RNA is filed under the name uncultured bacterium. RNAcentral's name for it is "partial 16S ribosomal RNA". It matches the Rfam family "Bacterial small subunit ribosomal RNA", at positions 215 to 472 of the family's 1533-position model. The record is from RNAcentral.